GGAGCUACUUCCGGACACGUGGGUUGCGACGCCGCCGUAAUGACCGAAGAGAGGCGCACAAUAACUUACCCUGCUGAAUGUUAAUUUCUAAACCCUCAGCAGAAGUUCUGGUGUCCUCUGGUUUCCUUCCAGUCCACCAGCUGGUUCACAGAGGACAGUGAGGGCGUCUUCAUCUCAGAGAUGUGUGUCUUGAUGAGAGAGUGUGCGCAUGUAUAACCCAGCUUCACCUGAAAGAGAAAGUUUGGUUCGUUUGGGGAAGUGUGAACGUGCGAUCGGACCAAAACAGCGAACUCUGGUUAAUCUACAAACCAACGUCUCCAUUCGGUUGAAGUGAAUUCUGGAGCAAAAUAAAAGUAUAUGUGAAUGCCAAGCGGACUGGAGAAGCAGGAAGAGGACUACAAUGCAUUGCAUUCUGGCCAUCUUGGAUCCCAGCUGCAGCAGCAUCGUGGCUGUGUCGUACUGCUUCGCUGCGAGGUAAGCUUCACCCAGCAGGCUGUAGAUUUCUCCCAGUUCCCUGCAGCCCCAGAGCCUCAGCGGCCGGCCCUCCGGGUCCAGCCAGC
Molecule: long non-coding RNA, 560 nt
Organism: Xiphophorus couchianus (Monterrey platyfish)
Lineage: Eukaryota; Metazoa; Chordata; Actinopteri; Cyprinodontiformes; Poeciliidae
Exons: 4
Source: RefSeq, a predicted model, not a curated record